This 137-nucleotide ribosomal RNA is filed under the name uncultured bacterium. RNAcentral's name for it is "partial 16S ribosomal RNA". It matches the Rfam family "Bacterial small subunit ribosomal RNA", at positions 395 to 524 of the family's 1533-position model. The record is from RNAcentral.
UGCCGCGUGUGUGAAGAAGGCUCUAGGGUUGUAAAGCACUUUCAGUGGGGAGGAAAAGUUUAAGAUUAAUACUCUUGAACCUUGACGUUACCUGCAGAAGAAGCACCGGCAAACUCCGUGCCAGCAGCCGCGGUAAU